GACGAACGCUGGCGGCGUGCCUAAUACAUGCCAGUCGAACGCUGAAGAGAGGAGCUUGCUCUUCUUGGAUGAGUUGCGAACGGGUGAGUAACGCGUAGGUAACCUGCCUUGUAGCGGGGGAUAACUAUUGGAAACGAUAGCUAAUACCGCAUAACAAUGGAUGACACAUGUCAUUUAUUUGAAAGGGGCAAUUGCUCCACUACAAGAUGGACCUGCGUUGUAUUAGCUAGUAGGUGAGGUAAUGGCUCACCUAGGCGACGAUACAUAGCCGACCUGAGAGGGUGAUCGGCCACACUGGGACUGAGACACGGCCCAGACUCCUACGGGAGGCAGCAGUAGGGAAUCUUCGGCAAUGGGGGCAACCCUGACCGAGCAACGCCGCGUGAGUGAAGAAGGUUUUCGGAUCGUAAAGCUCUGUUGUAAGUCAAGAACGGGUGUGAGAGUGGAAAGUUCACACUGUGACGGUAGCUUACCAGAAAGGGACGGCUAACUACGU
RNAcentral lists this ribosomal RNA (496 nucleotides) under uncultured bacterium. RNAcentral describes it as "partial 16S ribosomal RNA". It matches the Rfam family "Bacterial small subunit ribosomal RNA", at positions 28 to 506 of the family's 1533-position model. The record is from RNAcentral.